UUGAAAGGGAAACGAUUGAAGUCAGUCGUACCAGCGGGAAAUCANCCUUUCGAGUGGGGGUUUUGGAGUUUUGAAGAGUGUCAAAACCUUUGAGAUUUCAAAAUAUUCGCUCUUUUGGUGUACUUUCUCGUGGGUAGGUUAACAUCGAUUUUGAUCAUCAUAAAAAGAUUGGAGGAAUGUAGCUUCGAUCUUGUAUUGAAGUGUUAUAGCCUUUGGUAAAUGUGAUGAUUAGGAUCGAGGAUUGCAACGAAUACCCUUUUGGGCUAUCCGCCUGAUCUCUGAUACGUGGCCUUGGUAUCGAAAGCGUGCUUAUGGUAUUAANNUAUUACGGUCAAAAGGUUAGAACGGAUCNCAUUCGUUAAGGAUGUUGACGUA
RNAcentral lists this ribosomal RNA (375 nucleotides) under uncultured Glomeromycotina. RNAcentral describes it as "LSU rRNA". Lineage: Eukaryota; Fungi; Glomeromycota. The record is from RNAcentral.